RNAcentral lists this microRNA (21 nucleotides) under Oryza sativa (Asian cultivated rice). RNAcentral describes it as "osa-miR817". Its record names the gene osa-miR817. The record is from miRBase by way of RNAcentral. Lineage: Eukaryota; Viridiplantae; Streptophyta; Magnoliopsida; Poales; Poaceae.
UCCAACUUGAGGCCCGAUUGA